UGGGGAAUUUUGGACAAUGGGGGAAACCCUGAUCCAGCCAUCCCGCGUGUGCGAUGAAGGCCUUCGGGUUGUAAAGCACUUUUGGCAGGAAAGAAACGUCAUGGGUUAAUACCCCGUGAAACUGACGGUACCUGCAGAAUAAGCACCGGCUAACUACGUGCCAGCAGCCGCGGUAAUACGUAGGGUGCAAGCGUUAAUCGGAAUUACUGGGCGUAAAGCGUGCGCAGGCGGUUCGGAAAGAAAGAUGUGAAAUCCCAGAGCUCAACUUUGGAACUGCAUUUUUAACUACCGGGCUAGAGUGUGUCAGAGGGGGGUGGAAUUCCGGGUGUCGCAGUGAGAUGCGUAGAUGUGCGGAGGAACACCGAUGGCGAAGGCAGCCUCCUGGGAUAACACUGACGCUCAUGCACGAAAGCGUGGGGAGCAAACAGG
RNAcentral lists this ribosomal RNA (429 nucleotides) under Acidobacteriota bacterium. RNAcentral's name for it is "Acidobacteria bacterium partial 16S ribosomal RNA". It matches the Rfam family "Bacterial small subunit ribosomal RNA", at positions 355 to 776 of the family's 1533-position model. Lineage: Bacteria; Pseudomonadati; Acidobacteriota. The record is from RNAcentral.